This is a long non-coding RNA of Orussus abietinus, 582 nucleotides long. RefSeq lists it as uncharacterized. NCBI's taxonomy places the organism in Eukaryota, Metazoa, Arthropoda, Insecta, Hymenoptera, Orussidae. The record is from RefSeq and is a predicted model, not a curated record. The transcript has 4 exons.
GACGCUUUCCCGGGCGAGACCCGGUAAGGCGGCUCGGCGCACAAUGGCCAAUUUCGCUACUUCGGUAGAACCGGAGGCGGUGACUGCCCACGGGUAGUAUGGAUCGCUCGACGGUCGGGCGAUUUCCCGAAAAUGCAAUUCUCCCUUGAGCCAAACCACGAGUGAAAGAUUUACAAGUCACGGCGAAUGAGAAAAACAGCAAUGAAUCACGAGGAGAGAAAAUGCACGUAGUCCGCAUACAAGGCACGUCUCGACGCUUAUCGAUAUUGGAUCUGUAAUGUAGAGAGUGGAUUCCCAUUUCCCCUCCCACUUCUGAAGUUUGGAUCCUUGGCGUUAAGGUGAUAUAAGAGGGUCAUUCUAUAUAUCAAAAUGCGAAAUUAUUGAUAAAACUUUUUUUCAAACGGUGCACCGAAUCAUUUGAAAACUUCAGCACGUGAUUAUGUUGUAUUCCUCAAACGGGCGAACGGUAACCUGCGUGUCCCUUUAAGGUGAAGUGAAACACGUCGAGGAACUUGAUCAACGUCGAUAAAGAAGAUUUUUCUAAAUGCCUACGUUGCCGACGUUUGUUUUUAUAUUGACAGC